Molecule: long non-coding RNA, 212 nt
Organism: Scylla paramamosain (green mud crab)
Lineage: Eukaryota; Metazoa; Arthropoda; Malacostraca; Decapoda; Portunidae
Exons: 2
Source: RefSeq, a predicted model, not a curated record
UGAACAGGUGAUCAGCCGGUGAUUGUUUACUUAUCCAUUGUGAACUAGUGGAUUGUGAGGAUACUACUCGAAAUCAUAACAUUUUUCUUUAUUUGGAUCAAGUUCCCAGGAGAGGAAGCCAACACCAGCCCACCACAGGAAGCAGACACGCACUAGGACAGUCACCACCACCACCACCACCUGCUUCCUGUGCCUGAGUGAGCAGAAAAGCU